UACAGAGGUGGCAAGCGUUGUUCGGAAUUACUGGGCGUAAAGGGCGCGUAGGCGGUCUUGUAAGUCCUGUGUGAAAUCCCUCGGCUCAACUGAGGAACUGCACGGGAUACUGCGAGACUUGAGUUCGGGAGAGGGAAGCGGAAUUCCGGGUGUAGCGGUGAAAUGCGUAGAUAUCCGGAGGAACACCGGUGGCGAAGGCGGCCUACUGGGUCAGUACUGACGCUGAGCCGCGAAAGCCAGGGGAGCGAACGGG
Molecule: ribosomal RNA, 253 nt
Filed under: uncultured bacterium
Lineage: Bacteria
Description: partial 16S ribosomal RNA
Rfam family: Bacterial small subunit ribosomal RNA
Source: RNAcentral